Clostridiales bacterium 42_27 is the source of this 118-nucleotide non-coding RNA. The record is from Rfam. NCBI's taxonomy places the organism in Bacteria, Bacillati, Bacillota, Clostridia, Eubacteriales.
ACCGGUGGCGAUGCGCUUAGGGGCAACACCCGUCCACAUCCCGAACACGAUGGUUAAGACUUAAGCGGCCGAGGAUACUAUGCUGGAGACGGCAUGGGAAAGCAGGUGGCUGCCGGUA